UACGAAGGGGGCUAGCGUUGCUCGGAAUCACUGGGCGUAAAGCGCACGUAGGCGGACUCUUAAGUCGGUGGUGAAAUCCUGGAGCUCAACUCCAGAACUGCCUUCGAUACUGGGAGUCUCGAGUUCGGGAGAGGUGAGUGGAACUGCGAGUGUAGAGGUGAAAUUCGUAGAUAUUCGCAAGAACACCAGUGGCGGAGGCGGCUCACUGGCCCGAUACUGACGCUGAGGAACGAAAGCGUGGGGAGCGAACAGG
Molecule: ribosomal RNA, 253 nt
Filed under: uncultured bacterium
Lineage: Bacteria
Description: partial 16S ribosomal RNA
Rfam family: Bacterial small subunit ribosomal RNA
Source: RNAcentral